This is a long non-coding RNA of Triticum aestivum (bread wheat), 2483 nucleotides long. RefSeq lists it as uncharacterized. Lineage: Eukaryota; Viridiplantae; Streptophyta; Magnoliopsida; Poales; Poaceae. The transcript has 5 exons. The record is from RefSeq and is a predicted model, not a curated record.
CAAGUCUGUCAGCCGAGCCUGCUUUUGUGUGAAUGGAAAGUAAACGGAUUGAUCAGCGCCAGGGGCGGCGAUGUUGAACUUGGGAUCGAAGACGUUGACGCCUGUGGCGUAGCGACACAGCCCUGGCAUUGUGAAGGCGUAGUGGCUCUCAUACUGCCCAGGUGCUAGCGAUGAUGAAGUCGCUAGUGUUCAUGGCGAUCAUGUCGGCAGUGAACUGGCAGGAGAAAUGGAUUUCAUCUCGAUAGCUCAUUUUCACCUGGGUGACCCCGAGUUUGCUCGACAAGAGGGAUGCUACUAGAUUGCCAUCGGUGUAAUUGCCGAUGACCAUGUCUGGCUUCCCCUCAAGUAUGUCAAGAAUCUUGACAGAAGAAUCCUGAAACCACCAUGAUAAAGGUAAGGGUAAAUGUCAAACCGGGAGACCCACUGGCGAAGAUCUUUCCCAUCAUCAGUCUUGAAUGGCACGCGGAGGAUGCUCGAGUGCUUCGUGUGCUCGACCGGUUCAAGCUCAACGUUGCACUUGGUUCCCUUUGCGUCCGGUAUGAGUCUUGUUAACUGCAAGAUGUUCGAGCAGCUGUCAAAAGCUUCCUCCUUGCAGCGUGAGGUCAUGGUAGUUUAAUGAAGGCGAUCGAAGCUUACCACAAGAAUCUUCGGGGUAACAUUCAGGCCCUGCCGCUUGAUUCUUUGCAACAAUUCCUCUUCAAGAGCUCUAACUUGGUCCAGGAUGUAAACUACCUGUCAAGGAAAGAUUGAAAUGUUGGCUUCUGUUUCAAGCAUUGAUACCUGUGGAUUCAGGGUUAUAUCUUCCAUUGUGGGAUAAUGAUCCCUGUACCUGACCGCCGGUAUCCGGCAACCCAAGGACCUUCUCUUGACCAAAGUAACCGUGGAUGGAGAAGAUCACGAUGCUGAACACCGACGGCACCCUGCUGAAGAACUUCUCCAUGUUGAUCGGAUCCGGCGCCUGGAGCACUUCGGAGAGGAAGUUGAGUGUUUCUCUGCAUGUUUCGGCAGUGUCACCCCACCCCUUCUCCAAUCCCCACUCCUGAAACCUGCAACAGCCAGCAAACACAUCUUUGAUAAGUGUGCUCUUCUCCAGGCCUGCGACGAAGACCUCUGCAAGAAGCAAUGCUGUCUGAAGCUUGUCGGCGGUGUCGAUGGUGUCGCUGAUCAUCAGUUUCUGCAAGAAAGUGAGGAGAGGCCGAGCUCAUUCUACCGUCGACACUGACCAUGCCGAAUGGAACGAUCAAUCAACAUGCAUGCUUAGUUGUUGCUUACCUCGCCGCGGUAGUUCAGAUUUAGCAGGUAGUCCAGCAGCGGCUUCAUGCUCUCCGGCUUGCCGCUCAGCUUUGACGACAUGAACCGGGAGACGAACUGCAUCCCGUUGCCGAUGGACGACGGCAGCGUCAGAUGAGGCGUGGAGAGGUCCAGCGCGCCGAAAUCGACCUCCAGCGAGUUGUCGUCGCGCGCCCUGAAGAAACAACAACAGCAGCCAAUCAAGCCUGGGUUCAUCAGGUUUCUUUCUUGUAGUAUGUAUAGAUGAAUUGAUGAUGCAGUACCAUUUUUCGUCGUAGAGGGUCUCCUUGCACUUGAGGUAAGCGGAUGGCGUGAUCUCCUCGACGGAGAGGUCCCCGGAGUGCACCCUGAUGAACUCCCAGACGCCGGGGUUGGUCCGGACGGCGAAGGCGACGAGGGGAGGGAGCACGACGGCCUCCUGCGUGGAGCAGAUGACGUAGCCGAGGAAGCCCUCGGCGAGCCUGGCCUUCUCGGGCUUGUCGUCGCCCGCCGACGCCUCCAGCUCCUCCAUCAGCUGCUGGUUCCUCAUCAGCCUCCUGCCCUUGGAGACAUACCUGCAGAGCAAGGAAGGAUCCGUCAUACAUUUCAGAGAAAGAAAGAAAGAAAGGAGUGUUUGUGUUGUGGACUUGUGGUACCUACCUUUGGAAGCACCUCUUCAUCUGGUAGCGGCUCUGGCGCAGCGCCUCGGGCAUCAUGUCGGCGACGCUGUCGGACCUCCUGAGGGGCAUGUAGGAGGAGGAGGAGGAGGAGGCCAUGGCUGAGCUGAGGUGGAGAUGGAGGCCUGGAUGGUUUAGCUUGGUGGUGGUGUUAUGUGAUGGCAAGGCAAGUUUAUAGACAAGGGGAGGAAGAUGGAAGCAAGUUAACUAAUUAUGCUCUCCUCUGUCUCUGUCUCUGUCUGUCCCUUUCAGAGGAGAGGAGGAAGAUGAAAGGCAAGAGAGGAAGGAGAGGAAGCAAAGGAAAGAAGAGUGAUGGGUGGCACUUUAAGCAAGGCAUUUAUUUUGUUCCUCUUGUUAAUCAAUUUGUUUAUAUGUUAGAUAAGAUUCGAUUAAUCGUUGGUGCAAAAACAUUCAGUUUAAUUCAUGCCCGCCUGUAAAUGCAAAACUGAACUGCAUGUCAGAAGAUGAUAAUUUUCAUGCUCAGUUAAAUCUUGUCUGGGUGUAAAAUUAAGAUGGAAGGAGAAUAUUUGUUGGCUC